GACGGGACCCGCACAAGCGGUGGAUGAUGUGGAUUUAAUUCGAAGCAACGCGAAGAACCUUUACCAGGUCUUGACAUCCCGAUGCUAUUUCUAGAGAUAGAAAGUUACUUCGGUACAUCGGUGACAGGUGGUGCAUGGUUGUCGUCAGCUCGUGUCGUGAGAUGUUGGGUUAAGUCCCGCAACGAGCGCAACCCCUAUUGUUAGUUGCCAUCAUUCAGUUGGGCACUCUAGCGAGACUGCCGGUAAUAAACCGGAGGAAGGUGGGGAUGACGUCAAAUCAUCAUGCCCCUUAUGACCUGGGCUACACACGUGCUACAAUGGUUGGUACAACGAGUUGCGAGUCGGUGACGGCGAGCCAAUCUCUUAAAGCCAAUCUCAGUUCGGAUUGUAGGCUGCAACUCGCCUACAUGAAGUCGGAAUCGCUAGUAAUCGCGGAUCAGCACGCCGCGGUGAAUACGUUCCCGGGCCUU
This 470-nucleotide ribosomal RNA is filed under the name uncultured Streptococcus sp. Its description in RNAcentral is "bacterial SSU rRNA". It matches the Rfam family "Bacterial small subunit ribosomal RNA", at positions 916 to 1381 of the family's 1533-position model. Lineage: Bacteria; Bacillati; Bacillota; Bacilli; Lactobacillales; Streptococcaceae. The record is from RNAcentral.